Molecule: long non-coding RNA, 1396 nt
Organism: Tupaia belangeri chinensis (Chinese tree shrew)
Lineage: Eukaryota; Metazoa; Chordata; Mammalia; Scandentia; Tupaiidae
Exons: 4
Source: RefSeq, a predicted model, not a curated record
GCGACAUGCCUGAAGAGAGAAGUGGUCUGAGGCUGGGCUUUGCAGACAGAGGACAGGGCUUGCCGGUGGGCGCGGGUGGGGGUGCCCAGAGGAGGGAUGGGAUGUGCUGUGUGCACACAGAAGAUGAAUGCAGCUAUGCGGCCCUUCUCGCUUGUUUUCUUCAUUUCUCUUUUUAUCAUUUAUUUAUUUGCAGCCUUUCUCUUUGCCCUACUGGAGUACUGACAGUGGAAGGAGAGGAGGUCUUUGCAGGUCGUUUACUGAGUCCCACUCUGUGACCUUUGACUCUUUAUUUCCCUCUUCUCUACCCCAUUUUCCACCUAUACCAGUUAGCUUUAGGGGGAUUUCAGCCUCAAUAACAUUUCAUUAAUAUUAUUAUUGUUAUAAAUUUCCUUUUUAACACACAGGUCCUAACCCGUAUGACUCUUUUUCUACUAUUAAUUUUUCUUAUAUUCACGAUAGAGCGUGCACAUGCACACACACACACACAAAGAGAGAGAAGAGCAGGGCCUCGUCAGGCUGCGGUCCCUCCCUUAGUCUUCAGCCCUCUGGAUCCUGGGCGCUUGCAUGGGUGCCUUCCGUGCUUGGAGCUGAGCAAGCUGGCAGUUCAAAGCCCAAAGUCUCCAUGUGGGAUUGGGCUUCUCUGAGCAGUGCAUCACCACCACAGCACGGAGCAGGCUCUCACCUACGUGACUUACUGGUCGUCCUUCUCCAAGUUCCCACCUUCUUCCACCUGGGAUCAGACAUCUCUGAGGGCUGAGAUGGAAUGACAGCCCUUGACGGGGAAGUCUUGGUUAGAGCGAGAACCCCCUUUCCCAACUUGGAGAACUGUGUUGUGCCUCGCAGUAACCCUGGUUGUCAUCGGAAUAAUUUUCACUUGGAUGCGAUACAUAAGGAGAAACCACUGAGGGAAAAGACAAAGUUGGCCCAAAGGGGAGGACCCAGCUGUCAUUCUGGGAGAACCAGCAGUGUCACCAUUCCAUCACCUGGACUGCGCCAUGGGGAGACACCGAUGGCAGUGAUUGGCAUGGGGGCCAGGGGUGAUGAAGAAAUGGACCCAACCCCGCCUAUGAGUGGGGGCCGGGGCUAUGGAGUCAUCUGGAAAAAGCAGGGUCCCUGGAGCUGUCGUCACUCAGUCUCAGCAUCUAAGAUCUGAUUCUGAAUAUCAAGAACUUCCCAGAUAUUGCUAAGGACUAUGAGGAGGUCGCUCUGUCACCAGUGGGCACUAGUUUUCCAGAGCCCAGACGUCCCUGAGAGCUCCUGAAGGACUGGACGCCAUGGCGGGGAGAGCCACCCACCCACCCUUUAUCACAGCAGACGCCAGACUUGCAGAAAAGCUCGCAGUUCCCCAGCUCACGGCAUCCAGUGAGCUUGGGAGGCAAGAGUUCACUAUUUGAAU